CGGAACUCCCCAUCGGGCCCGUGACAACCGCCGCGAGGCCUCGACAGACAUUCUUCACCCCGAAUGCCGAUUGAAACCUCGCAAGGCUUAGCAUCAACUUCCGCAUCUCCCCGGUGAGCAACCGUUAUUAAAUCUUGCAUUUCAAAAAAAUCAUAAGUCAUUUUUAAAUAAGAACAAUAAAAUAUUAUUUUCUGGCUCACAGGGGUAUUUUCGUAAUUUUUCGUCAAAAAUCUCAAAACUUGCUAAAAAUGUAGUAGGUAAGCAGAAAAUAUAUAUUUAAUGAUUUAAAAACAAUUAAGUAUCUAAAACGUUCAUUUGAAAGCAAAUUGUUGACAACUAGUACUAUUCAAAAAUAAUAAAUAAAAUAUUCUAUUUUCUCAUAAAAUAAAUUUUUAUAGAAAUAUUCGUAAAUAAUUUUUCGCACAUGAAAGUAAAGUAAAAAUUGUAUGAAUAGAAAUACAGAUAACCAAAAUAUAAGUUUUGAUCUGCAAUGACACGUGGGCUCCAAUUGACCAAGAGGAUGUAAGACUGUGAACUCUUACUUUCUAUAAUGCAGUUCCGAGCUUAGUUCUCGUCCUACUCGACUAUCUACAAACUGUCCUGAGCCUGAAAAAUGUAUAGGAAGAAGGGGUGAGAUUUUAUAAUCCCAGUGAGUAAACAGAUACCAUCUAAAGUAUCUAAAGCCGAGUAAAUGGAGACAAUUAAAAUAAGUCAUCAUACUGUAAUUUCAUUACCUUUCAGUUCAUUUCAACCAAAUAAAAUCAAUCCAUAUAAAUCGAGUAAUCAACUUGGCUUAUGAAUUUCUUAAAACUUUGGCUCGUGCCAAAACUCAUACUCGGUGAUACCUUGCGCAGGGCAUCUAACCGAGUCCGCCAAGGCUAUUAAAAUUUUGUAUACACUUAAAAUAUAUUUUAGUUUGAGAAAAAUACAGCCGUUCCUUGGCGUUGGCUGAGUUCCCCUUCACGUGGUGGUUUGGCGUGAAGUGAACCCUAAGCUUUACCCCAGGAGAUACCCUACGCGCCUCUCCGUUCGAGGUAAUAAUAUAAUGGAGUUUACCGUGCCCCUCUAAUAGGCUGGUCCACGGAACCCCCUCUGCAGUAAAUAAUUAAUAUAUACUCCACCAAUUCAAUAAAAUUCAUUCUAGCAUGGCAUGGCAAUUUAUCACAAUCUAGCCUCUCAAGGCUGAAUACACAAUACAAAUAAUUCUGACACCAAAAUCAGUUUAGCCAUUCAUGCUCAUAUAUUGUCAUAAGCCAUUCAAUUUAAAACCAUAAAUUUACAACACAAGCAGGCAGUCUCCAAUUACUCUAUUUUCAAAACCAAUAUUCGAUUUUUCAGAAAAUUUAUAAAAUCAUUUUAUAAAAUCACAAUUUCUCUUAAAACAUAGCAAUUUACCAUUUAAACCCAUUUUUCAUAAAAUCACACAAUUGUAUAAAACUACUCUAGAUAAUUAAGACGAUAAUAAGUUUACUCACAGUAUUAGGAGUAGAAAUACUCCUAUCUU
This 1504-nucleotide long non-coding RNA is filed under the name Theobroma cacao (cacao). RNAcentral describes it as "long non-coding RNA (TCAC_LNC006275)". The record is from RNAcentral. Lineage: Eukaryota; Viridiplantae; Streptophyta; Magnoliopsida; Malvales; Malvaceae.